UGCCUACGGGGGGCAGCAGUGAGGAAUAUUGGUCAAUGGUCGGGAGACUGAACCAGCCAAGCCGCGUGAGGGAUGAAGGUACAGAGUAUCGUAAACCGCUUUUGUCAGGGAACAAAGGCGGGGACGCGUCCCCGGAUGAGUGUACCUGAAGAAAAAGCAUCGGCUAACUCCGUGCCAGCAGCCGCGGUAAUACGGAGGAUGCGAGCGUUAUCCGGAUUUAUUGGGUUUAAAGGGGGGGCAGGCGGUCUGUUAAGUCAGCGGUCAAAGCCCGGGGCGCAACCCCGGCCCGC
Molecule: ribosomal RNA, 290 nt
Filed under: uncultured bacterium
Lineage: Bacteria
Description: partial 16S ribosomal RNA
Rfam family: Bacterial small subunit ribosomal RNA
Source: RNAcentral